This is a long non-coding RNA of Capra hircus (goat), 786 nucleotides long. RefSeq lists it as uncharacterized. Lineage: Eukaryota; Metazoa; Chordata; Mammalia; Artiodactyla; Bovidae. The transcript has 3 exons. The record is from RefSeq and is a predicted model, not a curated record.
GAGGCCCCUGGGUGGGACCGCCGGGUGACCUGGGUGACCUCCCCGUUGGUUCCCCAGAGUGGCUGGGGACGUGGUCUACUUACUAACGCAACCUCAAACCGCCUCGCCUCGUUCAGCGAGUACAAAGGGAGGCGUCGGAUCGACCUUCGCCCGCAUUGGCGGGUGUAAGUGGUUACUCCAGUGUCGUGUACGGACGAACUUGUAAUUUAAAGUGACCCGCAAGGAAUCUGGAGACGGUUGCUUUACAGUAUUUUUAGAAAACAGGAAUGUGAACUACUUCAGUUCCAAGGGAGAAAAGAAAGUUCCCCGAGAGCCUGUGAUUCCCAGAGUAGCCCCAGCCAGUGGUUGAAUUUUGCCCAUGGAGAAGGUGACUGGAAUGUUCACCAGGAUUGAGAAACAUCGCUCAAAUCAAGAUACCUGACCUCUCUGCUCCUCACCUUCACCUUUGUGACUAGGCUGCUUCCAGGGAAACGUCCCUCUUCAAUAUUCAACAGGGAUCUAAAAUGCUGUAACCAACUUUGAAAUCUUUAAACACUAAUUGAUGGUAUGGUUCUGAUCAUCUAGUAUGCAAUUGUGUCAGAUAGUAUCAAGUGGGGAAUGCUUCAAUUAUUUCAAAGUAAAAAUGGAAAAAAAAUAAAACCUAAUUGGUAAUAUGCUUCAUCAAAACACUGAGCUUCAGUGAAAUCAUCACCUGUAUUUGUAAUGACUUGAGAGUAAUGUAAGACUAUUUCUUAAUGUAACAUUUUUCUAAUAUUUAGAGAAUCUUCCACCAUGCUUCUCCGGUAA